GACGAACGCUGGCGGCGUGCCUAACACAUGCAAGUCAACUUGACUGAAGGAGCAAUCUGACAGUAGAGUGGCGCAAGGGUGCGUAACGCGUAAGUAACUUGCCCCAAGGUAAGGAAUAACGUCGAGAAAUCGGCGCUAAUACCUCAUAAUGCAGCGGAUCCGCAUGGAUAUGUUGUUAAAGGUUUACCGCCUUGGGAUAGGCUUGCGUCUGAUUAGCUAGUUGGUGUGGUAACGGCACACCAAGGCUACGAUCAGUAACUGGUCUGAGAGGAUGAUCAGUCACACUGGAACUGAGACACGGUCCAGACUCCUACGGGAGGCAGCAGUGAGGAAUAUUGGGCAAUGCUCGAAAGAGUGACCCAGCAACGCCGCGUGGAGGAUGAAGGUAUUCUAUAUCGUAAACUCCUGUGAGAGCAGACGAAAGACAGAUUAUUAAUACUGGAUGACUGUAUGCUCAGA
RNAcentral lists this ribosomal RNA (459 nucleotides) under uncultured bacterium. RNAcentral describes it as "bacterial SSU rRNA". It matches the Rfam family "Bacterial small subunit ribosomal RNA", at positions 28 to 485 of the family's 1533-position model. The record is from RNAcentral.